RNAcentral lists this ribosomal RNA (440 nucleotides) under uncultured bacterium. Its description in RNAcentral is "partial 16S ribosomal RNA". It matches the Rfam family "Bacterial small subunit ribosomal RNA", at positions 338 to 795 of the family's 1533-position model. The record is from RNAcentral.
CCUACGGGAGGCAGCAGUGGGGGAUCUUGCACAAUGGGCGAAACCCUGAUGCAGCGACGCCGCGUGAGUGAAGAAGUAUUUCGGAAUGUAAAGCUCUAUCAGCAGGGAAGAAAGUGACAGUACCUGACCAAGAAGCUCUGGCUAACGACGUGCCAGCAGCCGCGGUAAUACGACGGGGGCAAGCGUUAUCCGGUUUUACUGGGUGUAAAGGGAGCGUAGACGGUUAUGUAAGUCUGGAGUGAAAGCCCGGGGCUCAACCCCGGGACUGCUUUGGAAACUGGGUAACUGGAGUGCAGGAGAGGCAGGCGGAAGUCCUGGUGUAGCGGUGAAAUGCGUAGAUAUCAGGAAGAACACCGGCGGCGAAGGCGGCCUGCUGGACUGUAACUGACGUUGAGGUUCGAAAGCGUGGGGAGCAAACAGGAUUAGAUACCCUGGUAGUC